This 1577-nucleotide small RNA is filed under the name Arabidopsis thaliana (thale cress). Its description in RNAcentral is "ATSL117160". Lineage: Eukaryota; Viridiplantae; Streptophyta; Magnoliopsida; Brassicales; Brassicaceae. The record is from RNAcentral.
UUUUUGGUUUUAUAUAAUUUUUUCUAAAUUAGGAUGAUUUGAUAUGUUUAAUAUUAGUGGUCUUAAAAAAUAAUAAAUUAAAGAUUUAACCCAUAUUGAAACAGUGGAUUAAUUAUAUUUUACUUUUUUAUUAAUGUUGAUUCAAAAACCCGUCCCUCCAAAUCCGUCUUGCCAAAAAGUCAUUUAUUUUAUUAAUAUUAAUUUUAUUAAUGAUAUGACUCUGAAUUAUAAUCUAAAUAUUUUAGCUAAUAACAUAGGAGUGCACCAUAUUUAUUUAAUAGGGAAAUGUACCAUAUGACCCGAAUGCAUUUUUAUCCAAAUCCACCAAAAAAGUCUUGCAAAAAUACUAUAAAGAUAAGAAGCGAUAGUCGGUUUUGAUAGAUAUAAGAUUAGCAAAUAUAUUAGUUAGCUUAAAUUAGUUAAAGAAUACAAAUUAAAAGGGUAUGCACCAUAUUUAUUUAAUAGGGAAAUGUACCAUAUGACCCGAAUGCAUUUUUAUCCAAAUCCACCAAAAAAGUCUUGCAAAAAUACUAUAGAGAUAAGAAACGAUAGUCGGUUUUAAUAGAUAUAAGAUUAGCAAAUAUAUUAGUUAGCUUAAAUUAGUUAAAGAAUACAAAUUAAAAAGGUAUAUUACACUUUAUUCAAAUAUUGUAUCAAAACUUAUAUAACACAGAGAUUUGAUAAUUUUUAAUUGUUGAAUACUUCUUUUUUGUGCUAAUUUUAUGUGAUUAAGAUUUAAUUGAUUUCAUAUAUAAAAUAUUAAAUUGACUUAUUUGUUUAUAAUUUGGUAACAGAUAGAUAUUUGAAUAUUCAGUAUAUUUUGCUUCAGUUUAGGAAAUCUUUGAUGACCCGUCUUUAGAUCCAAUAAGUCCUAUAAUCUAGAGAUUAAUUUGCAGUAUACCGCAGGUAGGCUUAUAUUUUAGUUAAACUAAAAACUUUUAUUGUAAAGAUGAUUUAAAAAUAUAUGAUAUUAUUUUAUUUGAUUUUAAAUGUAUAGUAAACUGUGAGUUGUAUAUGUUUUGUUGAUAUUAUCUAUAUUGUUUAGUGUUUAAGAUUAUACACUUGUAGUUUGAUUGUUAAUUUAAGAGUUUCACAUGUAGUAUACCAUCUUGUAUUAAUAUCGAUCUAAACCCGUCAAUUCUAGGAUUUUUCAGCUUAUAUUAAAAAUUGAAUCACAUCUAAUAUGUUAUUAACUAUUGUAAUAUAUAAGAUUAUAAAUUUUCAAUAUAAUAUGUAUGAAAUUGAAUAUGAAUAUUUCAAAUUUAUGUCCCCUUACUCAGUAGAAAGUUUUCUUAAAUCUAUUUUUCACCCGUUAUAAUAUUAUUUCAUGUAUUGAACAGUUUAUAUUUGUUUUUAAAAAUUCAAAUUAUGGCAUAUGCGAAAAAACUCUAAUUAUUUUUUUAUAAUGAUGAUAUUAUUUUUCCGUAUAAAUAGAAUCAUAUAAAGAUGAGAAGUGAACUAUAAUAAUUAAUAAAAAAUUAAUAUGAUAAUUUAGAUACCAAAUAUAGUUUGUUGAUUUUAAUUGGUUACUUUUUUAGAAAUUAAUAAUCUAUUUCGUUUUUCUAAUUAAAUUAAAU